UCAUUUUUGUGAUGAGUGCAAUUUGUCUUUUUUAAUUGCAUAGUCGCAAAAGUGAUG
This 57-nucleotide microRNA precursor is filed under the name Limulus polyphemus (Atlantic horseshoe crab). Lineage: Eukaryota; Metazoa; Arthropoda; Merostomata; Xiphosura; Limulidae. The record is from RNAcentral.